GCUCCUGAAGCACUGGCAGAGAAAAGCAGCAAAGAGCCUGGAGCUGGUGGUAAGGAGGAGAUACAGACCCAGGAAGGUUGUGAGCAGCCCAUCCAUCUGGGACACGAAGGACCCGGAGAAGAGGUUUCAAAGAAAGGUGGGCAAAGCAGAGAGGCUGGUUCCCAGGGUGGCAGUGGGGCAGGGAAACCACUUGCAUUGGCUCCUGCAGCCAGACAGCAUGUUCAGUCAAAGAAGGAUGGAGUUCACCCUUCUCCUGUGGAAAAGGUGGAUGAUAAAGAAGUAAAACCCACUGAUAAAAAGCACAACACUGACAAGGCUUCCUUGGAGAAUAAAGCUGGAGGGGCUGAGCUGGGUGGAGGCGAGAGGAGUGAGAAGAGCUCACUCAAACAGCCAGGGAGUGUGGCUGAAGCUGAGGCUGCUCAUUUAAAUGUGACAGCUGCCCAAACAACCCAGAUCAGUCCUAAAGAGAAUAAAAAAGGUCCCUCUCAGCCUGCAGAGGAGGGGGAUGCUCUUGGUGGCAAGGCACACCCGAAGGAGGCUCCGGUGUUGAAGUCUGAGGUAGAUAAACCUCAAGACACAACCAAAGAAAGGGAAUCCCAAGACACAACUAAAGAAAAGAAAUCUCGAGACGCCACCAAAGAAAAAGAAACUCAUGACACAACUGAAGAAAAGGAAUACCAGGAAAAAACUAAAGAAAAGAAAUUUCAAGACACGAAUAAAGAAAAAGAAACUCAAGACACAACCAAAGAAAAGGAAUCUCAAGAAACAACCAAAGAAAAAGAAACUCAAGACGCAACCAAAGAAACUCAAGAUGCAACCAAAGAAAAGGAAUCUCAGAGCACAACUAAAGAAAAGGAAUCUCAGGACACGAAUAAAGGAGAGGAACCUCAAGACGUGCAUAAAGACAAGGAAUCUCAAGACACAACCAAAGAAAAAGAAGAAGGAUGUGAACAAAAAGCUGUGCAGGAGGCGAAGAAAGAGCGAGUUAAAGCAGCAGAGCAGCUCAAAGGCU
This 1012-nucleotide long non-coding RNA is filed under the name Lepidothrix coronata (blue-crowned manakin). RNAcentral describes it as "lncRNA (ENSLCOG00000012057.1)". Lineage: Eukaryota; Metazoa; Chordata; Aves; Passeriformes; Pipridae. The record is from RNAcentral.